GUCGAGCGGCAGCGACUUAACUGAACCUUCGGGGAAUGUUAAGGGGCGAGCGGCGGACGGGUGAGUAAUGCCUGGGAAUAUGCCCUGAUGUGGGGGAUAACUAUUGGAAACGAUAGCUAAUACCGCAUAAUCUCUUCGGAGCAAAGAGGGGGACCUUCGGGCCUCUCGCGUCAGGAUUAGCCCAGGUGGGAUUAGCUUGUUGGUGAGGUAAUGGCUCACCAAGGCAACGAUCCCUAGCUGGUCUGAGAGGAUGAUCAGCCACACUGGAACUGAGACACGGUCCAGACUCCUACGGGAGGCAGCAGUGGGGAAUAUUGCACAAUGGGGGAAACCCUGAUGCAGCCAUGCCGCGUGUAUGAAGAAGGCCUUCGGGUUGUAAAGUACUUUCAGUAGGGAGGAAGGCAGUGUCGUUAAUAGCGGUAUUGUUUGACGUUACCUACAGAAGAAGCACCGGCUAACUCCGUGCCAGCAGCCGCGGUAAUACGGAGGGUGCGAGCGUUAAUCGGAAUUACUGGGCGUAAAGCGCAUGCAGGCGGUCUGUUAAGCAAGAUGUGAAAGCCCGGGGCUCAACCUCGGAACAGCAUUUUGAACUGGCAGACUAGAGUCUUGUAGAGGGGGGUAGAAUUUCAGGUGUAGCGGUGAAAUGCGUAGAGAUCUGAAGGAAUACCGGUGGCGAAGGCGGCCCCCUGGACAAAGACUGACGCUCAGAUGCGAAAGCGUGGGG
Molecule: ribosomal RNA, 724 nt
Filed under: uncultured Photobacterium sp.
Lineage: Bacteria; Pseudomonadati; Pseudomonadota; Gammaproteobacteria; Vibrionales; Vibrionaceae
Description: bacterial SSU rRNA
Rfam family: Bacterial small subunit ribosomal RNA
Source: RNAcentral